This 447-nucleotide ribosomal RNA is filed under the name uncultured bacterium. RNAcentral's name for it is "bacterial SSU rRNA". It matches the Rfam family "Bacterial small subunit ribosomal RNA", at positions 328 to 792 of the family's 1533-position model. The record is from RNAcentral.
UGCCCAGACUCCUACGGGAGGCAGCAGUGGGGAAUAUUGCACAAUGGGCGAAAGCCUGAUGCAGCAACGCCGCGUGAGUGAUGAAGGCCUUCGGGUCGUAAAACUCUGUUCUCAAGGAAGAUAAUGACGGUACUUGAGGAGGAAGCUCCGGCUAACUACGUGCCAGCAGCCGCGGUAAUACGUAGGGAGCGAGCGUUAUCCGGAAUUAUUGGGUGUAAAGGGUGCGUAGACGGGAAAUUAAGUUAGUUGUGAAAUCCCUUGGCUUAACUGAGGAACUGCAACUAAAACUGAUUUUCUUGAGUACUGGAGAGGAAAGUGGAAUUCCUAGUGUAGCGGUGAAAUGCGUAGAUAUUAGGAGGAACACCAGUGGCGAAGGCGACUUUCUGGACAGUAACUGACGUUGAGGCACGAAAGUGUGGGGAGCAAACAGGAUUAGAUACCCCUGUA